UUUCCGUAGGUGAACCUGCGGAAGGAUCAUUAUUGAGAUGGGCCCGCGCCCCCCGGGGCCGGGCCUGCAACUCUCCACACACACUGUGAACCGUAUCGGGAGGGGCCCCGCCCCUCCCUCACAAACUAUCAGUGAUGAACGUCGUCAUUAUAACAAUGCAAAACUUUCAACAACGGAUCUCUAGGCUCUCGCAUCGAUGAAGAACGCAGC
Molecule: unclassified non-coding RNA, 210 nt
Filed under: uncultured fungus
Lineage: Eukaryota; Fungi
Description: sequence contains ITS1, 5.8S rRNA gene
Rfam family: 5.8S ribosomal RNA (bases 162-210)
Source: RNAcentral